GAAAUGGAGGCGGUCACGCGGUUCACAGAGGGUGGGUGAGUACCCCUCAUGGCAGCUGUGAUGAUACUCAUGUGAGCAGCUUCCCUUCAGCCCUCUCACUCCCGUUCCCUCCCCUGAGGGAGCCUGUCCUCCAGUCUGGCUGUGGGGACCCACUGGACCUUCUUGAUGGUGCCCCUUCUUCUGCAGCCCCCCAGCCCAGGCUGCUCCUCGGGCAGGAGAUGAACAAUUCUGCAGCAGCAGGCCCAUCCUAGACCCCACCUGGCCCUCUGGAGGGCCCCUCCAAGGAGCCCUCACCCCGCCCCCCCACCAUGCUGCCCCUGCAGGUGGCCCUCCGGGUACCACAUGGUGCCUCUCAGUAGGCCCCCAUUCUGGCCCUUGGUCCCGGCAGAAUAAUGAGACGCUGCAGUUCAGCGUGGAGGCCUUCAUGCUCGACGAGGAUGAGGUGAGGCGAAGCCUGGGAGGUCUGG
RNAcentral lists this long non-coding RNA (467 nucleotides) under Equus caballus (horse). RNAcentral describes it as "lncRNA (ENSECAG00000053857.1)". Lineage: Eukaryota; Metazoa; Chordata; Mammalia; Perissodactyla; Equidae. The record is from RNAcentral.